RNAcentral lists this ribosomal RNA (519 nucleotides) under uncultured eukaryote. Its description in RNAcentral is "SSU rRNA". It matches the Rfam family "Eukaryotic small subunit ribosomal RNA", at positions 1161 to 1696 of the family's 1831-position model. The record is from RNAcentral.
AGGGCACCACCAGGAGUGGAGCCUGCGGCUUAAUUUGACUCAACACGGGAAAACUCACCCGGCCCGGACACUGGAAGGAUUGACAGAUUGAGAGCUCUUUCUUGAUUCAGUGGGUGGUGGUGCAUGGCCGUUCUUAGUUGGUGGAGUGAUUUGUCUGGUUAAUUCCGAUAACGGACGAGACUCUAGCCUACUAAAUAGUCGCGGGCGUUCUCGUACCGCCCGUCGGCUUCUUAGAGGGACAGGCGGCGUCUUAGCCGCAUGAGAAAGAGCAAUAACAGGUCUGUGAUGCCCUUAGAUGUCCGGGGCUGCACGCGCGCUACACUGAAGUAAUCAGCGCGCAUGCAGCCGCCUACCCCGAAAGGGGCGGGAAACCGAGUGAACCUUUUUCGUGUCUGGGAUUGGGAAUUGUAAUUAUUUUCCAUAAACGAGGAUUUCCCAAGUAAGCACAAGUCAUCAGCUUGUGUUGAUGGAACCUUGUCCUUUGUCCACACCGCCCGUUGCUACAAACUGAUUGGAUGU